This 468-nucleotide ribosomal RNA is filed under the name uncultured bacterium. Its description in RNAcentral is "partial 16S ribosomal RNA". It matches the Rfam family "Bacterial small subunit ribosomal RNA", at positions 28 to 507 of the family's 1533-position model. The record is from RNAcentral.
GACGAACGCUGGCGGCGUGCUUAACACAUGCAAGUCGAACGGAAAGGCCCUGCUUUUGUGGGAUGCUCGAGUGGCGAACGGGUGUGUAACACGUGAGUAACCUGCCCUUGACUUUGGGAUAACUUCAGGAAACUGGGGCUAAUACCGGAUAGGAGCUCCUGCUGCAUGGUGGGGGUUGGAAAGUUUCGGCGGUUGGGGGUGGACUCGCGGCUUAUCAGCUUGUUGGGGGGGUAGUGGCUUACCAAGGCUUUGACGGGUAGCCGGCCUGAGAGGGUGACCGGCCACAUUGGGCCUGGGAUACGGCCCAGACUCCUACGGGAGGCAGAGGGGGGGAAUAUUGAACAAGGGGCGGAAGCCUGAUGCAGCAACGCCGCGUGCGGGAUGACGGCCUUCGGGUUGUAAACCGCUUUCGCCUGUGACGAAGCGUGAGUGACGGUAAUGGGUAAAGAAGCACCGGCUAACUAUGUG